RNAcentral lists this long non-coding RNA (481 nucleotides) under Pan troglodytes (chimpanzee). RNAcentral's name for it is "lincRNA". The record is from RNAcentral. Lineage: Eukaryota; Metazoa; Chordata; Mammalia; Primates; Hominidae.
CAGGGGCCCAAGAGCCACUGGUACCCAGUGUCUGGGUGGGGGCAGGGGGCAUUUUUGUUCUCCCAGCACCUGCUCCUGUUGAGACCAGAGAACUUGGUGGUCGACCACAGGCUGGGGUAUUAGUUCACCCCUAGCUUCUCCCCAGCGAGAUCCCAGGGCCCUUGGGCACAGGGGAUUAAGCCUCAGUCUGCUUACGUGCAAGCAGAAGAAAGAGGCCCAGAGAGCAACAGUGGCGGGUCUGCAGUCACACAGCCAACUUGCGCUUGUGGCAGUGGCAAGGUUGGUGAGUAUCUGAGUCUUCAGGCCACGGCAUUUUCCCCUUGAGUGGAGCCUGAAGUUCUGAGGGUACCCCUCACUCAAGCUCCAGGCGUCAGGAAAAGAACAUUCCACGAAGUCCAUCUGGAAGACGGUCCUUUCCCUGCUGCCCCCAGCUUCUAGAACAUUCCCUGGAACACAGCAAGUGUUCAGUUAUUGUUCAUGG